This 28-nucleotide non-coding RNA is filed under the name Cricetulus griseus (Chinese hamster). Lineage: Eukaryota; Metazoa; Chordata; Mammalia; Rodentia; Cricetidae. The record is from RNAcentral.
AGGCUGAGACCCGAGCCGAGUUUGCAGA